UACGUAGGUGGCAAGCGUUGUCCGGAUUUACUGGGCGUAGAGAGCGCGCAGGCGGUCGUUCAAGUCGCGUGUGAAAGCCCCCGGCUCAACUGGGGAGGGUCACGCGAUACUGAUCGACUCGAAGGCAGGAGAGGGAAGUGGAAUUCCCGGUGUAGUGGUGAAAUGCGGUAGAUAUCGGGAGGAACACCAGUGGCGAAGGCGACUUCCUGGCCUGUUCUUGACGCUGAGGCGCGAAAGCUAGGGGAGCAAACAGGG
Molecule: ribosomal RNA, 255 nt
Filed under: uncultured bacterium
Lineage: Bacteria
Description: partial 16S ribosomal RNA
Rfam family: Bacterial small subunit ribosomal RNA
Source: RNAcentral